UAAAAGUUUUAUUCUAGCUAUAAAGUUAAUUAUAAUUUUAUUUUACAUGUAAGGUUUAUCGUAAGUAAUCUUGAAUUUAAAUAGUUCAAGAAUUUUAUUAAUUUGUUCGCAGUAAAGAGAUCUAAAUAUCAUUGAAAGUUGGAUUUGGGAAUAAUUUUUAAUACUAACAAAGUUUGUGCCAGCAGUUGCGGUUAUACAGAUAGUGUGAGUUAAUUUUUUCGGUUGCCAGUUAAUUUUAAGAUUAAGAAUUUUAAAUUUGAAUUUAUAAGGUGGAAUUUGUAAUUUUAAUUAAAAAUUGAUUUUUGUUAUUAAGGCUGGGAAAUUCAGUUUAUAAACUAGGAUUAGAUACCCUAUUAUUCUGAAUGUAAAUUUUUAUUUGCUUGAUUAGUAGUAGUUAUGUUCUUGAAAAUUAAAGAUUUUGGCGGUACUUUAGUCCAUUCAGAGGAACCUGUCCUAUAAUUGAUGGUCCACGAUUUACUGUACUCUUCUUAUUAGUUUAUAUAUCGUCGUAGUUUGAAUAUUUUGGUAGAAUUUUAAUGUUCAUAAUUUUUUUAUAGAAAGGAAAUCAGAUCAAGGUGUAGCUUAUAGAAGGGGAGAGAUGGGUUACAAUAAAUUUAUUUAGAAGGAUUUAUUUUUGAAGUUUAAUAAUGAAUUUGGAUUUGAAGGUAAUUUUAAUUAAAUAAUUAGAAUGAUUUUGGCUCUAGGGUAUGCACAUAUCGCCCGUCGCUUUCACCCCAAGGUGAAAUAAGUCGUAACAUAGUAGGCUUACUGGAAAGUGAGCCUGGGAGGAUGAAAAAUAAGUAA
RNAcentral lists this non-coding RNA (804 nucleotides) under Dorysthenes paradoxus. Lineage: Eukaryota; Metazoa; Arthropoda; Insecta; Coleoptera; Cerambycidae. The record is from RNAcentral.